RNAcentral lists this ribosomal RNA (362 nucleotides) under uncultured soil bacterium. Its description in RNAcentral is "bacterial SSU rRNA". It matches the Rfam family "Bacterial small subunit ribosomal RNA", at positions 26 to 376 of the family's 1533-position model. The record is from RNAcentral.
AGAGUGAACGCUGGCGGUAGGCCUAACACAUGCAAGUCGAACGGCAGCACGGUAAGAGCUUGCUCUUAUGGGUGGCGAGUGGCGGGCGGGUGAGGAAUACAUCGGAAUCUACCUUUUGGUGGGGGAUAACGUAGGGAAACUUACGCUAAUACCGCAUACGCCCUUCGGGGGAAAGCCGGGGACCAGCAAUGGCCUGGCGCUGAUAGAUGAGCCGAUGUCGGAUUAGCUAGUUGGUGAGGUUAUGGCUACACCAAGGCGACGAUCCGUAGCUGGUCUGAGAGGAUGAUCAGCCACACUGGAACUGACGACACGGUCCAGGACCUCGUACGGGGAGCAGCAGGUGGGAAUAGUGGACAAGUGGG